Molecule: non-coding RNA, 134 nt
Organism: Paramuricea clavata
Lineage: Eukaryota; Metazoa; Cnidaria; Anthozoa; Malacalcyonacea; Plexauridae
Source: the annotation of a GenBank genome assembly
GACAAGUAUUGGCUUGUCGGAGGGAGAUGUUUUCGUGUCUGCUGCUGCUGCUGCUGCUGCUGCUGCUGCUGCUGCUGCUGCUGCUGCUGCUGCUGCUGCUGCUGCUGCUGCUGCUGCUGCUGCUGAAGAUAUAA